GCGGCAGUUGGGAAGCCGGGAGCCGCCCGCCAUGCAUUGGCGGCGGCGGCGGCGGCGGCGGCAGCAGCAGGGCCGGGGCCGCGGGCCGCCGGGGGGAGGGGUCCGGCUCCGUGCGGUCGCGGAGGCGGCGAGCGGCGGCGGCGGCAGCAGCAGGCGGGGGGCGGAAGUCCUUUGUUGCAGCAGCAGAGGGAGCAGCGCGGGCGGCUCCGACCUCCUCGGCCGCCGCUUCGGCCCCGCGCGGAGCCCCCGGACCCGGCUGGCCGCGCGGCGGGACUGUAAUCGGAAUACAAGAUGGCAAGUACCAGCCACAGCACAUAUGUCCUUCAGCAGCUAAACAACCAAAGAGAGUGGGGUUUUCUCUGUGACUGCUGCAUUGCUAUUGAUGAUAUUUAUUUUCAAGCACACAAAGCGGUCCUAGCUGCCUGCAGCUCUUAUUUUAGGAUGUUUUUUAUGAACCACCAACACACCACAGCCCAACUGAAUCUCAGCAACAUGAAGAUCAGUGCUGAAUGCUUUGAUCUCAUAUUACAGUUUAUGUAUUUAGGAAAAAUUAUGACUGCCCCUACCAACUUUGAGCAAUUUAAAGUGGCAAUGAACUAUCUACAGUUAUAUAACGUGCCUGAAUGUUUAGAAGAUAUACAAGAUAUAGACUCCUCUAAUUUAAAGUGUUCAUCUUCUGCUUCUAGUACACAGAAUAGUAAAAUGAUAUUUGGUGUGAGAAUGUAUGAAGACACACUUACUAGAAAUGGCAGUGAAGUAAACAGGUGGUGUAUGGAGCCACCAAGUUCAACUGUAAACACAUCCCAUAACAAAGAGCCGGAUGAAGAAGUUUUGCAGCUGGGCAGUUUUCCUGAACAACUGUUUGAUGUUUGCAAAAAAAGCACCGUGUCCAAAUUCUCUAACACAAAAGAUCGUGUGUCACAUUCACGCCGCUUUGGAAGAAGCUUUACCUGUGACAGCUGUGGGUUUAGUUUUAGCUGUGAAAAGUUACUGGAUGAGCAUGUGUUAACAUGCACGAAUAGGCAUUCGUACCAAAAUAACAGGUUUUAUGGUAUUGAAAAAAUUGACUUUAGUGAAAAAGACUCUACUUCUAAAAUACUAUCUGCACAAUCAGAGAACUAUAAAGGGGAUACCAAUCAAGCAGCCGAUGACUCUUCAUCUCCAGUGUCAAACAUAACAAGCAGAAAAAGUAGUAUAGUUGCAUCUGAGACAUCAGGUGAAGAAGGAAGUAGAGCCACUGAGAGGAAAAGAAUUAUCAUCAAGAUGGAACCGGAGGAUAACCCGGAAGAUGAACUGAAAGAUUUUAACAUUAUUAAAGUGACAGAUAAAGACUGUAAUGAAUCUACUGACAAUGAUGAAUUAGAUGAUGAACAGGAAGAGCCACUUUACAGAUAUUAUGUUGCAGAAGAGAUCAAUGAAAAGAGACAUUCUCGAAAAACUCUAAAACCCCGGUUGUCUAUAGAUGAGAAUGCAAGAAAGUGUUUAAAAAACGUGAGGCAUCUCAACAGGAAAGCCCCCCCAGUGCAGGAAGAUGCAGAGAAUGCGCCCUGUGAACUGUGUGGGCUAACAAUUACAGAGGAAGAUCUAUCUGCUCAUUAUUUAUCUAAACACAUAGAAAAUAUAUGUGCUUGUGGCAAAUGUGGCCAAAUAUUGGUCAAGGGUAGACAGUUACAGGAUCAUGCACAGACAUGUGGAGAACCCCAGGAUCUGACAAUGAAUGGUAUAAGAAAUGCUGAGGAAAAAAUGGACUUAGAAGAGAAUCCCGAGGAACAGUCUGAAAUAAGGGAUAUGAUGUUUGCAGAGAUAUUGGAGGACUUCAGGGACAGUCACUUCCAAAUGAACAGUCUUCCAAACAAACAGUUAUAUAAGCAUUCUGCCUGUCCUUUCCGAUGUCCUAAUUGUGGUCAGCGUUUUGAAACUGAAACUCUAGUUGUUGAACAUAUGUCAAACUGCCUAGAGCAAGAUCUGUUUAAGAAUGCUAUUAUGGAAGAGAAUGAAAGAGAUCAUAGACGCAAGCAUUUCUGCAAUCUUUGUGGGAAAGGAUUUUAUCAACGUUGUCACUUACGGGAACAUUACACUGUUCAUACCAAGGAAAAACAAUUUGUUUGUCAGACAUGUGGAAAGCAGUUUUUAAGAGAACGUCAGCUGCGGCUCCACAAUGAUAUGCACAAAGGCAUGGCCAGGUAUGUCUGUUCCAUUUGUGAUCAAGGAAACUUCAGAAAACAUGACCAUGUGCGGCAUAUGAUAUCUCAUUUAUCAGCUGGAGAGACUAUAUGCCAGGUCUGUUUUCAGAUAUUCCCAAAUAACGAACAACUGGAGCAGCAUAUGGAUGUUCAUCUAUAUACAUGUGGAGUAUGUGGAGCAAAAUUUAAUUUGAGAAAAGAUAUGAGAUCUCACUAUAAUGCCAAGCAUUUGAAAAGAACAUAAGCACAAACAUACUGUAAAACAAGCAUUAAAUUGACAGCAGUGGGAACACCAAAGCAAGGCAUACAAUAUAGCAGACAAAAAUUGAAUGAAUUGUUGAAAACAAGUCUUUUGUGUAAAGACCCUUUUAAUCAUAGGUGUCUUUGUUGUAGGGUCAUUAAGUAUAUAUCUUUUAAGUGUUUAAUUAUUACAUUUUCACUGUUGCCUACUAGCAGUUUCUGUUUUUAAUUUUAUCAUUUUACUAAGUAGAUAUGAUACAAAUCAUUAUUUUUAAACUGUAGAUUAAAAGCACAAAUGUUACCCUUGAACUGACUUCUAUUAAACAGUUCUUAGUUUCAUGUCCAUCCAGUGAGUGCUUCAGUAUUUACAAGUGUUGUUUCUUCAUGAGAAAUUUUACAUCAUGUAGCUGGAAUGAUUAUGCUCCUGCAUAUUAAUUACUAUCAACAUCAAUUUAAAAAAUGAAAACUGAUGCCAAGGAAUAAUUCUUUGCUUUGUGACUCUACAGUCAGCACAGAGCUAGCUGUCCUAGUAUUCAGAUUCUUAGCAUCUUUAUUGAGAUUCACGUCCCCAGGAAUGCUGGUCGGGUUAGGUAGGCGAAGUAAAACCAAGCAAGGCUGCAAUGAUCUGGAGAAAGGAAGAAAGAGAGAAUUAAGACUACAGUAUAUAGAAUCAAAGAAUUCCCAUCUGAACAGCCAUUUUCCAUGCUUGAUAUUCUAGCAGAAUUGAAACGAGCACUUCCGAUGCAGUAAUGCUUCCCUUCAGUUGCCUAUCUGUAUCUGCCUGAGUAUUUAUAAACUACUCAUCACAAUGGUAUCUGAUUGUUGAGUGCGAAGAGACUGCUGAGCUUUCUUAGUAAGUGCAGCAAAGAUGUUUUAUGCCCUUUCAGAAUCUUCUCACAUACAGACCUCUUUGAAUCUAGUGAAACCCUAACAUAUAGAGCUUAUCUGUUUUAUUUUAAUACAGUAAAAAACCACUGCGUGUCAGCUGAGGCAACUUGGUUUUUGAAAGUACAACUGUGGGUCUGGGCUGGAAUCUUAGAUACCAACUGUAUAAACAAAUACUAACUGCAUGGUUGUUAAUGAUGAAAUCUGUGAUAAGCAGUGGUGAACAAAGAGCAUUUGAAGAAAAAAUAACAACACCUACUUCUUAUAUAGUGCUUUUCAUCAGCAGAUUUCAAAGUGCUUCACAAAAAAAGUCAAUACCAUUUCACCAUUUUACAGAUGGGGAAACUGAGGCACCGAGUGGGGACGUGACUUGCCAAAGGUCGCUUCAUAGGCCAGUGGCAGAGCUGGGAAUAGAAUCUAGGUCUCCUGAGUCUCAGUCCAGUGCUCUAGCUAGAGUAUAAUUGCCAGGGAUAAGUUUUGAAACCUUGCCAUUUUUCAGACUGAUUAAUUUAUAGCUCAUAAAACAGAAUGUCAGAAUAUAUAAAUAAAUGGAUAAAGUUCACCUAAAAAUUGCAUAUAGCUACUUAAUCAAAUGAGUAUUUUCAGAUACUAUAUCAAAACUUCUGGUUUUAUAUUCAAUUAGAACUGAGUUUUUUAGAUUUGUAAACAAACAAUGUGAAUGUCUUUCAAGCUGGAGCCUAAUACACUGAAGGAAAAGGAAAACUUGGGUCCUGGACCUGCUAUCAGACCUGAGCACAUGGAUCCAAUUAUAGCAUUGGGGCUUCAGCAUUUUACAUACAAAAAGUAUUGUAACAACUGCAUUUCUUUUAUACUCCAAAAUCCCACAGAAGUCAAUGACAGUGGCACUGAACAGCACCCCUAACAUUAAUGCAUGCUAGUGUUUCCGUUAUUCCAAAGAUUUGGGUUUUUUUCCAGAGGUUUAUAAUACUUCCAUCCCAAGCCACAUUGAGCUGAAACUUAACAUGUCAGUCAAGAGAACAACCAGGUUGGCCGGUGUAAAUGCUGUUUUUGUGUCGGUGAUUGGUUGUAAGGGGGUGGCUGAGAGAACCAGCCAUCUUGUACAUUGGAAAAUGAAAUUUCAAAGUAACGAGUAGAAUGGUGUUUGAAAAAUAUUUACUGAUCAAUGAGACAUUGUAAUGGCAAUAUUUUUAUAAAGUGUUUAGGUCACAUACAAAUUCUCAGACAUUUGAGUUACCUUUUGAUAUACAAAUUCCAACUGAGCUGAAAGAGCAGCCAAGGGAACUAAGAGAGGACUUGUGUGUGCAGCAGAGUUGAAAGAAGAGUAUUGUGGCCUGGGGUGCGCUGAGAGAUUUGGAAUGCUGUGGGGGAUGCCAGGCAAAGAUUGGAACAGCACAGGAGCAGAGCCCAAAUUAGAAUAGUGUAGUGGGAAGUGGAGGGCAAAAAAUCCCAAAGGAGAGGGAGUGGAUAAAAUGUCCCAUAGAUGCCUGAAGGAACAGAGAGUGAGUGUGACUCAACUUGGCUGGGAGAGCUGUCAGCCUGGAUUACUAACUCACUGUGGCACCAAACUCUUAUUGCAGUUUGUGUACUAAGUAUAAAACAGACUUUUGUGCUGGGUGGGCUGUUGUGACACAGCAAAGCUUAGAUAAAAGAUUGCAGUGGGCCAGAGGACUGAAAAUGGACCGGAAAAUUUAGAGGAUGAAACACAGUAGCUAAUAGAUUAUCCCAGAAUACACCGAAGAGCUAAUAGAGUGAUUCGUAGACCCCUCUGCAUUGGGACAGGAGCCAUGUUUGAUGCUUGUUAGCCUGAGCUUGUUAAAACCCUGUUUUACACAGUUUGAUACCUACUGUGGAUGAGCCACAAUGGCAGAGGAGGUUUUAAUUUGUGAAUUGAGUUGUCCCAUUGUACAUACUAUGUUUUUUCAGUGAUUCCCCAGAAUACCACCGUUUUCCCAUUGCAAGCUGCGUUGUAGUGGUCUUUUCCUUCUCAGUGAGGCUGUCUUCAGUUCUCUCUAAAGCCCUCCAACACCUCUCUUUCAGUCAGAGGAAUUUGCUGGAGGAUGAUUUGAUGCACUCCCAGCUUUUACCAGCUUGGGCAGUGGAAGAACCAGAAUUUCUCUGAGUUUACACGUAUGUGCACUGGAAAUAAUGCUCACUUUGUGAUCCAGGAGAGUGAAUUGAAGUAUCAUGGAGAAGUUCAGAGAAGAUCAGGCAAAGAGGCACAGAAUGGUUGGGAAGGUUCAAGAGGGAAUGAAAAGAAUCUAGAGUUCCUGUGAACAAAUCAAAGGGAGUAAGGACAAAUCAGGGAGUACUGCAACUGGGCUGUGGGAGAGAUGGGAAGAAACACUGUUGUAGUGACAGACUUAUAAAAUUUGUGGACGAUACCAAGCUGGGAGGGGUUGCAAGUGUUUUGGAGGAUAGGAUUAAAACUCAAAAUGAUCUGGAAAAAAUGGAGAAAGUCUGAAGUAAAUAGGAUUAAAUUCAAUAAAGACAAAUGCAAAGUACUCCAUGUAGGAAGGAACAAUCAGUUGCACACAUAUAAAAUGGGAAAUGACUGCCUAGGAAGGAGUACUGCAGAAAGAGAUCUGGGGGUCGUAGUGGCUCACAAGCUAAAUAUGAGUCAACAGUGUAACGCUGUUAUAAAAAAAGCAAACAUCAUUCUGAGAUGUAUCAGCAGGAGUGUUGUAAGCAAGACACAAGAAGUAAUUCUUCCACUCUACUCCAUGCUGAUUAGGCCCCAACUCAAGUAUUGUGUCCAGUUGUGGGUGCCACAUUUCAGGAAAGAUGUGGACAAAUUGGAGAAAGUCUAGAGAAGAGCAACAAAAUGAUUAAAGGUCUAGAAAACAUGACCUAUGAGGGAAGAUUGAAAAAAUUGUGUUUGUUUAGUCUGGAGAAGGGGGCAUGAUAACUGUUGUAAAGUACAUAAAAGAUUGUUACAAGGAGCAGGGAGAAAAAUUGUUCUUCUUAACCUCUGAGGAUAGGACAAAAAGCAGUGGGCUUAAAUUGCAACAAGGGUGGUUUAGGUUGGACAUUAGGAAAAACUUCCUAACUGUCAGAGUGGUUAAGCACUGGAAUGCAUUGCCAAGGGAGGUUGUGGAAUCUCCAUCAUUAGGGAUUUUUAAGAGCAGAUUGGACAAAACACCUGUCAGGGAUGGUCUCUAGAUCAUACUUACUACUGCCUUGAGUGCAAGGGACUGGACUAGAUGACCUCUCGAGGUCCCUUCCAGUUCUAUGAUUCCAUGAAAGCAGGUAUAAGAACAUCAUGAGAAAGCUGAAAGAAAGGCCUGGAGUGGCUGAUAGAGAGGAUUAGGAUGGCAAGAGAUGAGAAAAAAAUUGAAAUCGUGCCAAUGAGACAAGAGAGUGGGUGAAAGAGAGCUAAACAAGAGUGUACAGACCAUUUAAUAAUGCUGACUAAGGGCAGUGGAAUGUUCUUCAGAGAACAUAAUGAUAUGGAUGCAAUACAUACAAAAUUACCAUGUUCCUGCUCCCCCACAGUGGUAGGGUAGUGUUUUUUUUUUUUUUAAAAAAAACCAUUAAAGAGACAGAUGCUCAAAAAGCAAAUACAGUACUAAAGACUGUUGAAACAUUUUCAGUACAACAAAAACAAAUCCCUGGAAAUCUCAUUCUUAUUUGAAAGACAGUGAAGGAGGAACAGAAAUUCUUGAUGUAGAGUUCUGUUUAUCACACUUGCAGUUUUAUUCUUCUUGCCAUAGUUUCUCUGUAUCCAAUUCCUAUACUAACUGGAAUCCUAUGCAUGUUUAGACUAUAUAUAUGUAAUACUGUAAAUUGCUUGGGAUCUUUGCAGAUAACAGGCGUUAUAUACAUACAGGACCAUGUUUUAAAAAAUACUAAUAGUUAAUUAUUUUUCCAAAAGAAAAUGAGCACUCUCUUGAUUCUCUGCCUCUCCUACUCCUGUAUCUCCGGGUGCUUUGUUAUUCCUAUGUCCAGUGAUUUCUCACUGUUCUCCUGCUGC
Dermochelys coriacea (leatherback sea turtle) is the source of this 7260-nucleotide RNA transcript. It is a transcript of the gene named zinc finger and BTB domain containing 1, with no coding region annotated. The record is from RefSeq and is a predicted model, not a curated record. Lineage: Eukaryota; Metazoa; Chordata; Testudines; Dermochelyidae. The transcript has 3 exons.